GAGGCCGCUUUCCAUCCGGGUCCCUGUCCGUGCGGUGCAGCAGGUCGGUAGGCGGGAAAUGGCGACUGGCUGAAGGAGCUGGUUCUGUUGCUGCUGCGGGCUAAGCGGGGAAGACACCACACGUUGCGCAGUCGGGACCAUCGCUGGAGCCUGAAGACACUUCUCUGUCGUCACAGUUAGUUUUACAUGUGGCACCCAUAAAAGAUGAGGCUGAGAACACGGAAAGCUUCUCAGCAAUCCAAUCCAAUCCAAACACAGCGCACUGCCAGAGCAAAGAGGAAAUAUUCAGAAGUUGAUGAUAGCCUACCUACAGGAGGAGAAAAACCACCGAAGAAUGAAACCGGCUUGUUGUCUUCAAUUAAAAAAUUCAUUAAAGGAAGCACACCCAAGGAAGAGAGAGAAAAUCCUUCGAAACGGAGUAGAAUUGAACGUGAUAUAGAUAAUAAUCUGAUCACAUCAACACCAAGAGCAGGAGGAAAACUUAACAAACAGAUAUCUCGAGUAAGACGGAAAAGUCAAGUAAAUGGAGAAGCUGGUAGUUACGAAAUGACAAAUCAACAUGUAAAACAAAAUGGAAAAUUAGAAGAUAACCCUUCCUCUGGCAGUCCUCCAAGGACUACAUUGUUGGGGACCAUAUUUUCUCCUGUCUUCAACUUUUUUUCACCAGCAAAUAAAAAUGGAACAUCAGGAUCCGAUUCCCCAGGACAGGCUGUGGAAGCUGAAGAGAUAGUAAAACAACUUGAUAUGGAACAGGUGGAUGAGAUCACUACCAGUACUACUACGUCAACUAAUGGAGCAGCUUACUCAAAUCAAGCAAUUCAAGUGAGGCCAUCAGUAAAUAAUGGUUUAGAAGAUGCAGAAGAAACAGUUAAUCGUGAUAUCCCACCCCUUACAGCACCAAUAACUCCAGAUAGUGGUUAUUCAUCAGCCCAUGCAGAAGCCACUUAUGAAGAAGACUGGGAAGUGUUUGACCCCUAUUAUUUCAUCAAACAUGUUCCACCACUGACAGAAGAACAACUAAAUAGGAAACCUGCUCUUCCAUUGAAAACAAGAAGCACACCAGAAUUCUCCCUAGUUUUAGACCUGCCCAGGCCUUCACUGCACUUUUGUCUGUGUCCUUGGGCUAUGCAUGAUGAAACACUAGUACACUGUAGUCUAAAUGAGCUAGAAGAUGCAGCACUUACUUUUCCAGUCCUUUUCCAAGAUGUCAUUUAUCAGGUUUAUGUGAGAUUAAGGCCAUUCUUCAGGGAAUUCUUGGAACGAAUGUCUCAGAUGUAUGAGAUCAUUCUUUUUACUGCUUCUAAGAAGGUGUAUGCAGACAAGUUACUGAACAUACUAGACCCUAAAAAGCAACUGGUCAGGCACCGACUUUUUCGUGAACAUUGUGUUUGUGUACAAGGAAACUAUAUAAAGGACUUAAAUAUCCUUGGAAGAGAUCUUUCAAAAACUAUAAUAAUUGACAACUCACCACAAGCCUUUGCAUAUCAGGUGCAGAAUGGGGAUGACGGAAGCUAUCUAAUGGAAUCCCUAUAGAAAGCUGGUUUAUGGAUAAAAAUGACAGUGAACUCCUAAAAUUGAUUCCAUUUCUGGAGAAGCUUGUAGAACUGAAUGAAGAUGUUCGACCUCACAUCAGAGACAGAUUUCGCUUGCAUGAUUUGCUGCCCCCAGAUUAAGUACAAAGACUUGUCAAAUCAUGAAGGGGGAGAGAAUGCAGGACCCUUUUGGACUAAGACAAAACAUUGCCAUUACUGUUGAAAUUUUGCAUUUUUGUACCCCGUCUUGCUUUUCUUAUCUUUGGUGCCCAAUAAUAAUCAAGGGUUACAGAAAGAGACUUUAUCUCAGAUUGAAUACAUACAGUAGGUAGGCUAAAACAGAAGAGUCUUUAGAACUAGUGCAACUCCAGUGAAAUUUUUUUAUGUACAGGACAUCUGCAGUUUAUAAAGAAUUCUGUUUCUGCCACCAGCAGUUUGACCUGUAGUCACACAGGAUUUUAUGAUAAUAACAGAGAUGAAAAUGGACUUUUUAUUUUCUCUCUGUUUGGUGCUCUAAGUGGGUUUGUAGCCACUUUUCUGUUACUUUAAGAUUCUCAUUUCAACAGGAAUGGCCAGUAAAAGUUGUUUUAUUUUCCUGUUAAGGUUUAUAACCUUUUUACAUUUUUGACCUGUAUUAGAUUAGAAUUUCAUUAUGCAUUCCUUUUAGUUGAGGCGCUUCAGUUUUCUGGAAAUAGUUUUUAGUUUUUUAUUAUAUAUUUGAAUGGCCGUUUUCCUGCUUUGUCUGCCUGCAUAUUGUAUAUUUGUUUAAAAAUAUUCUCUACUUUUAGUCCAUGUAAGUUUCAUUUAGAAAGACAUGCAUUUAUAUUUUGUUUCUGUAAUAUUCUACUGUAGGUGAAAUCUUUUCAAAAAUCAAGAGACUGGGUAGGUAAGAAUAUAUGAGUAAUAUUCAAAUGAUUUAAACCAUUGUGAUGGCAUGUGUUUCCAAAUGGUAAUAUCUUGCAGUGGCACACAGAUUUAAUGGAUAAAGGUAUACCUCAGACUUCACUGUGCUUACCAAUCUUUGAGGAGAAUGUGUUUGGUCACCUUUUGGGCUUGAUUUGGUUACUGCUGCCUUUGGUUUCCUCCAGGAACGAAGUACUCAGCACAGUGAUUCGGUAUUUUUAAUUAUUUUGCAUGGGCUGGUAGUACCUCUGUUAUGCUCUCGGUUACAAUCAAUUUAAAACUCUGUGUAACAGUUUUGGUACCUUACAGUAGCUAUGCAGAAUCCUGUGGCACAGUCAACUCCCAAGCCACCAAUGCAGUUAAUAUGCUCUCAUAGUGGGUUUUCUAUACUAUAUGAAAAUAGUCUUCAAGCCUUGGUUCUCUAAUGCAGCUACCACAAGAGGUUGAUAUUUUUAUAGUGGCGUGUAAUCUUCUUUUCGGGAGGCUUUUUAUGGAAGGUAGAAUUUGUAAGGUUAGUAUGCUUUGCCUCUCAACUGCAUUAACAUGCCACAGGCUCAGACUGUUUUUGUGUAAAGGAUGUCAAAGAACGGCACUUUUUCUAAAGAGAAGUUUGAUAUUUUGUAUGCUUGUUAAGAAAGUACAGUAUUGGAAAUUAAAGGUGGACAACUGAUAAUUGAGGAGUAUGUCACUUAAUUUUUUAUGUAUAUUACCUGUUUACUUGUACAACUUACUGUACAAAUUACAUGCAGCUUCAUUUUCAAAUCCUUAAAAUAAGGAAAUCUUUUUAGGAAAACAUUUAAUUUUUGUAUUUUUGAUUUUAAAGGCAUGAGUUAUGUCAAUUUUCAGUGUAUUAAUGAAAAUUUUAACUUUUCAUCAGGUUGAGUGUUUUCUUACUAUAUUAUCUGUUGUGUAUGUAGUUAGCAUAUUGUGUCACUGAACUGUUUAAAAAUCUAGCAUGUAGAGCAAGCCUGUUUUGUGGAAAAUCCUUAUUCAUUAAAUAAUCAUGGCAGGUUUUCUGCAAAAAAGAGCAGAAGCAUUCGCAAUUCAGAAUACUGGUUUUUUUGUUUCGUUUUUGUUUUAAUUUAAAGAAAGGUAUUUUGCUUGCAGGAAAAAAUACUACAGAUUCAUUUUAAUGAGAAUCUUUGAGAUGUAUUUAUCUUUAGGGCAUCUGGGCAUCUUUAUGCUGUUUGUCUUCUGUCUUUCUUGAAAUAAAAUGUACAUACGUUACCUUUACAUAUGCUCUUGCUCAAAAUUGUGAACCUAGUUACAUUUCUCCUUGCUCCCUUUUUAUGCUCAAACAGCAAAAUCCAAACUUAUACAAGAUCUAAUCUUUCAGCAUGCAUUAUAAUUGCUGAAAGCUUUUCUGAUUAAGUAAAUACAGUCUCAAAGGGCUUUCCCAUAACUUAAAGGGAAAUGUAAGCACCUAUACCACUGUGCCUGUGGGCACUUUAAAUGAACACCCACUUUAAUCAUCUUGUUUUAAUAGUAAAGCUGUUUUCAGUCCCGUGCUAGGGAGAGUUCCCUAAAAUAGACUGACAAAUGAAUCAAGCAUAACAAGAUUCUGUAAAGAAAUAAACUAAGGGAAAUUUUGUGUGGCCUGAGAAAAUUUCUUGAGACCAAUUUAUAUAUAUAUUUUUCAUUACCUGACUUGAGUCAUUUUAAAUUUAAUACAGAAUUUUAAAUAAUUUAUAGAGACAACUAUCCAGCUUCCUUCCACGUUAAUGUUUUAUUGUCUCAUUACCCCUUUUCUUUAUCUGUUUAUAGAUGUUAUCUUAAACACUUCCAAUUGGUUAAAGCGGAGGUGUAUAUUUUAUGAACCUGAGAUGUGCCCAGCCCCUACAGUUCACACAGUAAACACAAACUCUUAAAAACUGACUAUAGCAAAUGCAGGAGAGAUGGCUACCUGUAAAGACACAGCAAAAGUGACCUAUAUACACAUUACAACUCUGAAGUACAUAUUAUAAUUGUGAUAUUUCCAGUGAUAAAUGUCUGACUUUUAAGACAUUCUUUUAAAUAUUUGUAUUAUUGUUAGAAUGUUUUAAUCAGUUAUGUUUUUUAAUUCCAUGUAAUAUAUGUAGCCCUAAUAAGAUUUAUAUCACCAAAUUUCUCCUUGGGUUUUAAAAGAAUAACAAUUUAAAAUCAUAAAUUGUUUUAUAUUAGCUAGUAUGUAUAUUUAUUUACCCAAUGGCUUUAUCUUGUUUCCCAAAAUUUGGGGAGAAUUUGUUGAAAGCAUUGUGACUUCUAUAAAUGGCUAUUUUCUUGUAACUGUCCGUGAAAAUGUAUGUGUACUUUUUUUUUUUUUUCAUUUCUCUGGUUUUUCUGUUUUGUUUUUAGGGUUAAACAUAGAAUGUUUUUUGGUUUUUUUUAAGUUCUCUUUGGCCAAUGACUUUUUCAGCUAGAUAAUUACUUUCGUUCAACGUUCUAAAGAAGUUCAUUUUUCAUUGUUUUGUUCAGUCAACUUACCUGAAAAACAGAGACUUCAUCUCAUCAAUGAAGAAAGUAUUUCAUUAUUCCUACAAAUCUUUACAGCGAGCACAGAAUUCUUCAUAAUAAGGACCAGAUCUUUCCCACAUCUGUGUCAAUCACAUAAAGCUGAAACGUAAAGGACACUGAAGCCUUCAUUUAUUGUACUAACAUGGUGGUGUUAUAUACUACAUUAUUAGCUAGUUAAGGUUUUCUGACCUAAUUUCUCUGUCUUCCUAGAUAUUUAUUUGUUAUCUCUUUUAAUCUUGUGUAUCUAAAAUUAACUUAGUUAAUAGUUACCCAUCAAAUAACUAUGCCAAGCAACUAGGAAAGAAUGUUUAUUUUAUUUCCCCUUAUAGGGGAAGAGUGGACUGGGAACAAAAAUGUAUGGGCCAAAAGGCCUUAGGUUGUCAUUCAUUCACUUUCUUAUUCCUCUCAUGACCUAUGUUCAAGUAUAGUAUUUUUUCAGUGUUGAUGUGCUUGAUUAUGUCAUUACUUUUCAUGUCUUCCCCUGAGUUGAAAGCCUGCUAGGAACCUGUAUGGAAUACAUUUUUAAAUAUUCAGAAUAAGAACCACAAAACUCAGUAUCUUAUAUUUAAAUGCUCCUUAAAUUAUUGGAAUCCAAAUCUCACUCACUAGGAUACAUUUUUAUAAAAUGUUUCUCUGUAUCUUGAAUUGAAAUUACUUGCCCAGAGGCAAGAGUUCUUGGGAUAAUGUGUUUUGAGAAAUUUUUUAAAAGGGGAUAAGAAAGCAACAAGUUUAUACUUUGUGGUUUUGAUAUUAGUUAGUAUUUUAAAAUUCAUUAGUAGUUCCCAAACCUGACUGUUCAAUUAGAAUUACUCUGACCUUUGGAAAUAGAUUCCUGAGGCGUAACCCCUGCAAAAUUGUCUCAUUGAGUCUAUAGUGGGGCCUGAGAGUUCUGUAUUUCUUUUUUAAGCCCUCCAAGUGAUUCUAAUAACCAGGUUUGGGAAAUCACUGUUUUAAAUGUGACAGUGGUUUGAGAGUAGGCAACAAAAUAAAAGUUUACCGGACAUCUUUGUGGUAGUUUUUCUUUUUUCUUUUAUUUUAAACUGGGACCAGAUUUCACAGAACUUAUUCAAGAUACAAGGAGGAAUAAUAAAGAAGAUGGAAGCUACUGCUCAUUAUUCUUUCAUACUUUUAAGAGUUUGCAUACCUAGCACUUGGAAUAGUUGAUCAUAUACACAGCUGAAGGACAUAUCCCUGAAUGAGACCAUUAUAUAUAAAUUGUAAAAUAUUUCACUAUUUUUUUAUUUUAUAAAUCUUUGUAGAAAUAAGCAAUGAAAUACUACUUUCAUCUUUUGAAAUGGGAUUUUUCAAGGCAUUGUCCUUUCGGCAUUAAGGUAGGGGGGAAGUUAAUAUUCUCUCUGCUUUUUUCCAUGUGAAUCAAUAUGAAGUCAUGGACAUUUAAAAAUCUCAGUUCAAUUUCUACAUAUUUACUAUGCAGUAUAGCCAUGAACAAGCAAUGUAGAUUUAGUUUUCUCAUCUUCAAAUGCCCUGGUCACCCUACCUCACAGGGUUGUUGUGGGGAUAAAAUAAAACUUUUAUGGAAACAC
Molecule: RNA transcript, 6472 nt
Organism: Myotis myotis
Lineage: Eukaryota; Metazoa; Chordata; Mammalia; Chiroptera; Vespertilionidae
Gene: CTDSPL2
Gene name: CTD small phosphatase like 2
Exons: 15
Source: RefSeq, a predicted model, not a curated record